CCUACGGGAGGCAGCAGUGGGGAAUCUUGCACAAUGGAGGAAACUCUGAUGCAGCGAUGCCGCGUGAGUGAAGAAGGCCCUUGGGUUGUAAAGCUCUUUCGUCGGGGAAGAAAAUGACUGUACCCGAAUAAGAAGGUCCGGCUAACUUCGUGCCAGCAGCCGCGGUAAUACGAAGGGACCUAGCGUAGUUCGGAAUUACUGGGCUUAAAGAGUUCGUAGGUGGUUGAAAAAGUUGGUGGUGAAACCCCAGAGCUUAACUCUGGAACUGCCAUCAAAACUUUUCAGCUAGAGUAUGAUAGAGGAAAGCAGAAUUUCUAGUGUAGAGGUGAAAUUCGUAGAUAUUAGAAAGAAUACCAAUUGCGAAGGCAGCUUUCUGGAUCAUUACUGACACUGAGGAACGAAAGCAUGGGUAGCGAAGAGGAUUAGAUACCCUCGUAGUCCAUGCCGUAAACGAUGUGUGUUAGACGUUGGAAAUUUAUUUUCAGUGUCGCAGCGAAAGCGAUAAACACACCGCCUGGGGAGUACGACCGCAAGGUUAAAACUCAAAUGAAUUGACGG
Molecule: ribosomal RNA, 558 nt
Filed under: uncultured bacterium
Lineage: Bacteria
Description: bacterial SSU rRNA
Rfam family: Bacterial small subunit ribosomal RNA
Source: RNAcentral